UGCUCAUGAAUAUGUAAAGCGUGUGAGUCUAUGGUGGUAAAUACAGGCAUGUCUACAACAAUAACAGCAUAUGAUCAGUGUCCUCUCCACAGUCACUGUGCACACAGAUCCUCACCAUGGGAUGGAGCUGGAUCAUCCUCUUCCUGGUGACAGCAGCUACAGGUGUCCACACACAGGUCCAGCUGCUGCAAUCCGAGUCUGAGCUGGUGAAGCCUGGAGCCUCAGUGAAGCUGUCCUGCAAGACUUCAGGAUACACCUUCACUGACUAUUAUAUGCACUGGGUGAAGCAGAAGCCUGGACAGGGCCUGGAGUGGAUUGGAUUGAUUAAUCCUAAUAAUGACGGUACUAACUACAAUCAGAAGUUCCAGGGCAAGGCCACACUCACUGCAGACAAAUCCUCCAGCACAGCCUACAUGGAGCUCAACAGCCUGACAUCUGAUGACUCUGCCAUCUAUUACUGUGCAAGAGACACAGUGUUGCAACCACAUCCUGAGUGUGUCAGAAACCCUGCAGGAGGAGGAAACAGCCCUUGGACUGAGAGGACAGAGAGGAUCAGCCUGGAGAUUUGCCCAUAAAUCAUCACACUGAGU
Molecule: non-coding RNA, 590 nt
Organism: Mesocricetus auratus (golden hamster)
Lineage: Eukaryota; Metazoa; Chordata; Mammalia; Rodentia; Cricetidae
Source: the annotation of a RefSeq genome assembly